This 886-nucleotide unclassified non-coding RNA is filed under the name Hevea brasiliensis (rubber tree). Lineage: Eukaryota; Viridiplantae; Streptophyta; Magnoliopsida; Malpighiales; Euphorbiaceae. The record is from RNAcentral.
GGUCUUUCAUUGUUUUGGCCGAUACUUCUGCCUUCACUUUGAAGCCUUUCAGCUUGGUAUGGCCCCCGUUUACAUGGCUUUCCUUCGUUUCAUGGGUGAUGAGACAGAAGCCCGUAAUUACAGCUACAGCCUGGAGGUUGGGGGAAAUGGCCGGAAACUCAUUUGGGAAGGGACCCCGCGAAGCGUUAGAGAUAGCCACAGAAAAGUUAGAGAUAGCCAUGAUGGUCUCAUUAUACAGAGGAACAUGGCGCUUUUCUUCUCUGGAGGGGAUAGGAAAGAGUUAAAGCUUCGAGUGACAGGACGCAUAUGGAAAGAACAGCAGAACCCAGACGGUGGGGCAUGCAUACCCAAUCUCUGCAGUUAGGAUGGUUUGCACUUUCUCUCUCCCUCUCUUUCCCCCCUGUGUGCUUCUUUUGUAAUAUUAGCAUAUUCAGAUAUGUUGAGAAUCCAUAUGUAUGAAUUCUGGAGGCAUGAGCUUUAUAAUAAAUUGCCAAUAAACUAUCCAACGAAGUUACUCUGGGUUUGCUGUGAAUUUACCAUUUUAGCAGCUGCCUCAAUUCUCAUGGUGUGCUUCUUUUUGUACUUCUUCAAUUUGGGUACAAGUUGAAGUUGCUGCUUUAAAUAGCCAGAUAAGGACAAGAUAACUUCUUACAUUGCACUGACUUUCAGCCUAUGCUUGUCCAUUUACUUGGAAACUGAGGAAUAGAAAUGACAGACAGAAUCACUGCAUAUUCAAGUUCAGAUAGCUCGUAUUCUCCUGUUGAUUUGCUCUGGCCAGAAGUUCAUCUCCCUGGGAUUAAGGCGGUGCAUUGGAGUAUUCAGGGGUAACCAAAAAGGAAGUUAAUUGACAUCACUUAUUUCCAAUCAUGUGCUAUUGAGUGCAUGA